UUUUCCAAGUGACAUUUCUGAACAAGUAAAUAACGAUCCUGGACUCUCUACAGGUGUAUUUCAAGAGGCGUAUGUGCUGCUUCCUCAUUUUUGUUGUGCAUUGAGUUAGUGCAGCAUCUGAAGAUGUUGAAAGACCCAGUGCAUGGAAUAGCCAAGAGUCAGACACAACUGAAUGGAUAUUGUCAUCAGUGAGCAACAGUUUUCCAGGUUUGUCUGUCAAUAUCUGCUUUUCUGAGUAUUUGUCGGCUCAUGGUCAUGAUAUUAAUGAUGAUAAUGUCUAACCAGCUUUUUAUUUGUUGAUUUCUUUCUAAAUUGCUUUUAAUUUUUCCAAACAUCAGAGUCUACUCAAAAAAAUCUUGCUUCUGUAUUAUGAAUCAAAAAAAAAUUCACUAUCCGCUUGUAUAUUCUAAUCUAAUCAUUCUAAUGAAUGAUUUAUUCAUCAUUCUAUUGAAAAAAAUCCUCAGAAGUUUUCUCCAGCAACUCCACUGUACAAAGGGAUCAAUUUGUUUUUGUUUUUUCAGAUUUCAGGUUUAUAACUGGAAAGACCAUAUAUUUACAAAUCAUUGCUGUCAGUAUGGUUUUUGAAUAAUUUCUAAUGGUCUUUGUCUCUAAAAAGCAGAUGCCAUUCUAUUUAAUGAUUACAGUCUCUUUUGCAGCAUUUUUGGUGUCCAGGAAGAUAAACUCUGUUUCUGCCAUCAUUUCUUCAGGUAUUUGCACUGGACUGAUAGUAAUAGCUAAUUUUGUUUUCCUUCAAGCCACUCUUAAAAACUGCCUGGACAAGUUCCUUCAAUUUUCUUGACAACAUUUUGGGAACUGGUUUGAUGUUUUAGAUCUGAGAGAGAAUUACUGACCCAGUCACACAGCUAGAUUUCUGCUUAAAGCAGGGCUAGAAUUCAUCGUCUCUAAUUUUAACAAUUACACCAACCAUUACAUCACCAGCUGGCACGACCCUAUUUAAAAAAAAUAUUGGGCAUAAGAGCAGCUUUUGUAACUUCCACUUUCAAUUAGACGUUACUUCAAUAAGACAUUACUU
Molecule: non-coding RNA, 1033 nt
Organism: Notechis scutatus (mainland tiger snake)
Lineage: Eukaryota; Metazoa; Chordata; Lepidosauria; Squamata; Elapidae
Source: RefSeq, a predicted model, not a curated record